Polychaeton citri CBS 116435 is the source of this 81-nucleotide non-coding RNA. The record is from the annotation of a GenBank genome assembly. NCBI's taxonomy places the organism in Eukaryota, Fungi, Ascomycota, Dothideomycetes, Capnodiales, Capnodiaceae.
GGCACUUUGGCGGAGUGGUUAACGCGCUGCCCUGCUAAGGCAGUCCCUUCGGGGGCGUGUGUUCGAAUCACACAGGUGUCG